GACAAUUCAUUCAUCUCCUUACAAUUAAGACAUCUUCCUACAACCCAUUCUCAAUUCUUCAUUCUUCUACUCUUAAAUUCCACAACAAGAGAAUCGUUACUUGCUACGGAAUCACUAAAACCACACGCCAAACACCUACUAUUCACGCCAUCCACCAUGCAAAACGUGAUAUCCUUCGCAUUCAUGGGUAACUAAAUCUCUUAGUUGGGGUUAUGGAAGCCGAAUGAGUUACUAUCUAUAGCUAUGAGUUUGUGAGUUCAAGACAAGUAUAUUGCUUAUAUCAUUAUUCUCUUCAUCUUAAAUCUACAUUCUUUGCGGUUCAAACACAAGAACACGCCAUUCUAACAUCUAACCUGUUCGAGAGAAAGGUUAUUUGUCUAGAAAAGAAGACGCAUAGACCAACGCCAGUCUAACAUCUGACUUGUUCGAGAGAAAAGUUAUUUGUCUGGAAAAGAGAUAAUGUCAAGGUAGUAGGACACCCUUUCCUAUUAAAAAGCUAGUGCCGUACCUGGACUAACUUCUUGGAG
RNAcentral lists this long non-coding RNA (527 nucleotides) under Capsicum annuum. RNAcentral describes it as "long non-coding RNA (CANN_LNC013743)". Lineage: Eukaryota; Viridiplantae; Streptophyta; Magnoliopsida; Solanales; Solanaceae. The record is from RNAcentral.